RNAcentral lists this long non-coding RNA (1329 nucleotides) under Equus asinus (donkey). Its description in RNAcentral is "lncRNA (ENSEASG00005031372.1)". Lineage: Eukaryota; Metazoa; Chordata; Mammalia; Perissodactyla; Equidae. The record is from RNAcentral.
GGGCACCAAAGAGCACUGAAGUUAAGGUGACAAAAAAAUUCUGUGAGCCGCCGAACAGAGGAGCGUGUCCAGACCCGACCCAGCUGGUUCUCGUACCAUAUUAAUUUGGCAGCAGGAGCUGAACCAGCUCUGAGCGCGUCCUUUUCUGAUGGAUAGGAUUUCCCCGGCGUCCAGCUCUGAAUCCUGCUCCUCUCCAGCCUUCCAGAGUCUGGAAAAAAGGGACCCCGUGGAGAAGGGAGCAGAAAGAAGAGGGAGAGAGCAGGAGGAAAUGAAAACGGCUUGUGAGAAACGGUGGGAGAGAAAAAUAGCAGCUGAAGGGUGAAGUCAUUUGUAAGUGACAGAGUCCUGCAACUGGGAGCUUAAACAGCUAGUCUGUAGGACUUUAUACGAAUAGCUAAGCCCUUUUUCCUUAUCCUACUAGGCAGAUAUUAAUAGCAACCCUGUUCCGAUGCGUGAGGACGCAGUGAGUUCAUUUUCGUGGAAGUGCCUAGGAUGGCGCCUUGUCAUAGAAGGUGAUGAAUUUAAUCCUGAAACUAAGGUUCAACAGAAAGCCGUUUGGUGGCAUUUCAUGUUAGAUGUAGCCGUUUCAGUGACAGAGAAAGGCAGGCCCAAAAGGAAGGAGCAAUUUUGGGCCUAGCCAAAGCGUCAGUCUGCGUUUCUCCUUCAAUGCUCCUCUUUGAUGAUCCUUUCCGCCCUUGUAACCCUACGUUUCUCACACGCUGGAGCUGCUGAGGUCAUGUGGCCAGGAGGUCGAAUUUCCCAGUUUUUAAAACAAGAGUUUUUAACCCAAAGAUGGUGGUGGAUGGGUAACAGAAAAGAAGAGAACUUCCCCAGACUCUCCAGCAUUCAAGACGGAAUGUGGGUCUCUCCAAAUCACCUGCCUUUGAUUCUGGCUGAGCUGGGACCUCACCCGCGGGUUAGCCGCUUGGGACAGGGCCCCCCGUAUUUCUCCUGGAGGAGACAGCUGUAUUUCACCAGGCAUGAAGUGAUUUAUGUGCACAAUUUAAAUAGUAUUUUGGAGCUCUGAGGAAUGCAAAAUGCAGCAUGACUUGAAGGUACGAUAUACUUAGGGGAAAAUAUGGAAUGUGCUGAAUGUUUUCUUUUCUUUCUUUUAAAGCUAGUUGAAAUCUGUUUCACUGACGAAACUGUUUAACCAUGUACAAAUGUGUAAUUCUGUCUCCUGACAAAAUCGGCAGGAUUGGGAUGAUGGGCCUCGUCAAGGUUGGAAGCAUAGCUUAGUCACCCUGGGGCUGCCCUAAGCCUUAGAUUUAGAAUAUGCUGGAAAAAUAAAAUGACUACUUUUUACAGAUUCAAUACCUGUCUUUUAAG